UACAGGAUACAACAGCAAUGCAUUGUGAAUUUAGAAUGAACUAGUCAUGGUGGUAAGAUCGCUGACAAGUCUUUUAAAACCAGAAAUCAAGACACAUUGACCCAAUGGGCCCAAUCCUAAACGCCCCCUAGACCCUAUGCCAUAUGCACUUGUGGAGAUCGGAGAGGUUUUGUCAGGUGUAAGCAAUAUGGUAAUAGCUCUACCACUCAAUGAUAGGCUAGGUGGAAGUAAACCCAUAUUGCUUACAACCAAUUAGAUGAUCUUACAUCAUUACAUUACAUUAAGGUCUAGAUGUCAAUUUGGGAUUGGGCCCUUCUCCAAUGGUCCAAUGAUAGGAAGUCAGCUGUAUAUAGUUCUACAUUCAGCCGUUUUGUCUUUGGUAACCUCAGUCAUCUUGUCCCUAGAUCUGCCAACAUGGAGGGGUUGUCAAGGUGACGGUAUUACCACCAGACCAGAGGUCACUAGUCACGAAGACAGUCAAAUUCCACGUGACAGUUUAGACACGGUAAUUAGGCUUCUCUGAUGCUACUGAUGGUCAUUAGUAGCCUACCAAAUUAACUGCCUGGUACUCAGCACUGUAUCGUCCCUUUAAAUCACUCUGACAUCAAUGUAUUAAAACAUCUCAUCAAAACACUUCAUGAGAGCCCAUGAGCUCAUGUUGCUCAACAUUUCUAUAGGCUAUGUAACUGCGUGAGAAAACAGAGUGAUGGCUUCUAUUAAAAAGAGGAGUAACUGCGUGAGAAAACAGAGUGAUGGCCUCUAUUAAAAAGAGGAGGAUCUCAUCAGCUUUCUAUAGGCUAGGCCUAUUAUAUUUAUAAACUUUCCUAAUAUUAAGCACAUUGCUUCUCUUUACAACAGGAGUAUAGCCUACCUGGCUGGCAUGAAAAUGAACCACGGGGAAAAGCAUCCUCCAUUUUGCUAUUUAAGUGCAUAGUUGACAUUCUUUCCCCCCCAUACCCCCAUUUCGAUACAGGUGCAUGAUAAUGGUCCAUUCUAAAUCAAAACUAAUUUGACACACAUAUAAUUUAGUAUAUGUAAAGACAAGAUUAAAUUAAGAAUAGUGUGAUGGGUGACAAUAUUAGCCUAUCACUUGUGGAUUAUGUAUUAUCACAUGCGAAUGACGCCCAGCUUGUGCAGUAAGGCGAGGAAUAACUCAUGCGUUUUUUUGCGACUUCUUCAAAUCGUAGGUCGCACACCGUAUGUAGCCCAGCCCAUAGGCCUAUAUGUUUUGAUAAGGUUUUUUAUCACAACUAAAGUGGCCAAAUAACUCCUUAAAACGAAGCACAGGGAGCGCAGGUAGUCUAGUGGUUAGAGUGUAGGGGCGGCAGGUAGCCUAGUGGUUAGAGCGUAGGGGCGGCAGGUAGCCUAGUGGUUAGAGCGUAGGGGCGGCAGGUAGCCUGGUGGUUAGAGCGUAGGGGCGGCAGGUAGCCUAGUGGUUAGAGUGUAGGGGCGGCAGGUAGCCUAGUGGUUAGAGUGUAGGGGCGGCAGGUAGCCUAGUGGUUAAAGCGUUGGGCCAGUAACCCGAAAGGUUGCAAAAUCAAAUCCCCUGAGCUGACAAGGUAAAAAUCUAUCAUUCUGUCCCUGAACAGGGCAGUUAACCCACUGUUCCAAGGUCGUCGUUCAAAAUAAGAAUUUGUUCUUAACUGACUUGCCUAGUUAAAUAAAGGAUAAUGAUAAUAAAUAUUAAACCGCUUUAUAACCGGUGCCUAACUGGCAGACAUAAGCUGUGUGAGUUUCACGUUUGGGGAAGAUCAUUUUC
Oncorhynchus tshawytscha (Chinook salmon) is the source of this 1759-nucleotide long non-coding RNA. The record is from Ensembl. NCBI's taxonomy places the organism in Eukaryota, Metazoa, Chordata, Actinopteri, Salmoniformes, Salmonidae.